RNAcentral lists this ribosomal RNA (257 nucleotides) under Staphylococcus aureus. Its description in RNAcentral is "partial 23S ribosomal RNA". It matches the Rfam family "Bacterial large subunit ribosomal RNA", at positions 2326 to 2582 of the family's 2925-position model. The record is from RNAcentral. Lineage: Bacteria; Bacillati; Bacillota; Bacilli; Caryophanales; Staphylococcaceae.
AAUGGUUGGAAAUCAUUCAUAGAGUGUAAAGGCAUAAGGGAGCUUGACUGCGAGACCUACAAGUCGAGCAGGGUCGAAAGACGGACUUAGUGAUCCGGUGGUUCCGCAUGGAAGGGCCAUCGCUCAACGGAUAAAAGCUACCCCGGGGAUAACAGGCUUAUCUCCCCCAAGAGUUCACAUCGACGGGGAGGUUUGGCACCUCGAUGUCGGCUCAUCGCAUCCUGGGGCUGUAGUCGGUCCCAAGGGUUGUGCUGUUC